Molecule: non-coding RNA, 1330 nt
Organism: Monodelphis domestica (gray short-tailed opossum)
Lineage: Eukaryota; Metazoa; Chordata; Mammalia; Didelphimorphia; Didelphidae
Source: the annotation of a RefSeq genome assembly
AAGAUACAGGAGGGAGAAAGUACUACUAUGAAUUGCAGUUACACAGAACCUACUAACCAAGGGCUUCAGUGGAUCAGGCAGGAUCCUGGGAAAGAUCUCAUCUCCCUAUUUCACAUGACUUCAAAAGGGAAGCAGAAUGGAAGGUACAGAUCCAUAAUCAAGAACAAGGAGCGCUUUAGCUCUCUGCACAUCACUGAUGCCAAGUCUGAAGACUCAGGCACCUACCUCUGUGGUGUUGGUAUACCCUCCGCUGGAAAUUAUCAACUUCACUUUGGACAAGGUACAAAGUUAACUGUGAAAGCAAAUAUCCAGAACCCUCAACCAGCUCUGUACCAACUAAGAAGCCCCAAGUCAAGUAACACUUCAGUCUGCCUCCUCACAGACUUUGGUUUUUAUAAUGGGUCCAUCAAAAAUGAGACUGUAACUGGUAGCGAAGCAACAGUCCUGGAGAUGAUGACAAUGGAAUCUAAGAGCUAUGGAGCAGUGACCUGGGGAAGUAAAUCAAACUUCACAUGCACAGAUGCAUUCCGGAAAGACAUGUUCGAUUUUAAUCAAUUCUCAGGUUCCAAGUGCAACAGUUCACAUGCAGAGCAAGGCUUUGAAACAGACAGAGAUUUGAACUUAAUGAACCUGUCUCUGAUUGUUCUCCGCAUCAUCUUCUUGAAGACUGUGGGAUUUAAUCUGCUUAUGACACUUCGUCUAUGGUCAAAUUAAAGUCUGACAAGACGGCAAGUGAACUUUAUGUCUUCCUGCUCCUUCUUUCUUCAUCUGCCCAUCUCCUUUAGAAUUAAUGAAGAAAUAUACAGCCAACCUCUCCAGGUGUAUAGGGAAGGCCAUAGGUUGGACCUUACCAUGUAUUUGGGAUACCAAAGUAGAAGAACUUCACCAAAAACCAGCCCAACCCUUUCAGUCCCUUCAUUGCUGUUUUUUAACAUGCCAUUUAAUGGAACUAGUAAAGGCAUGACAAGAGGCCCUUCCGACCAUGAAGAAAUGCUACACCUGCAUCCUCAGCCCUCGUGAGAGAAUUCCUGAAGAGUGGAGGAGAGGACAUUGUAUGUCCCUAAAGGCCUUAGAAUCUUCAAAAGCUCCUUGGAAAAUUGCUCUCUGUCUCUUUCUCCUUCCCUUCUCUACCCUCCAUAUAAUUAGAGAUUGUAAGAAGUUUUUAUUUUUAAUAGAGUUCAUAAAGGAAUACAUUUAAUUCUUUUUAUUAUUGUGUAAAAGAUUAUAUAAUUGGGUGAGCCUAGCUUUACCAUGUAUCUGAGCUGCACUGUAUUCUGUUGCCUAACCAGGUUGAUAGGAUUUAUUAAAAGUACUUUUGUAAAAGCAAAAA